GUUGGGAAGAAUUCUGCUGCAAAGCCAUCUGGGCUGAUAUAUGUUUUAUUUUUUAAAUUUUAUUUUUGCAGGGAAGCUCUUUAAGUCUUUAAAUCUCUAUUUCUCCCAUGGAAUCUAGUCUUUCAAAACCUGUCUCUUGAGAUCAGUUUCGAAGGGAAAAUGAAGGCUCCCAGAGGCCUGGCAAAAGAGCACCAACAGUAAUACUGCAAUAUAGUCAUGGAACACAUUGAGGUGGUGUAUGAUGACAGGGCCAAUGUUACGCACCCCCCACCUUCCAUGGAUUCGGAGAACUGGGAUCCUAGUAGCCUCUGAGGGCGGGGCCGCCUGUUUCGGGGACGCUGCG
RNAcentral lists this long non-coding RNA (343 nucleotides) under Heterocephalus glaber (naked mole-rat). Its description in RNAcentral is "lncRNA (ENSHGLG00100052023.1)". Lineage: Eukaryota; Metazoa; Chordata; Mammalia; Rodentia; Bathyergidae. The record is from RNAcentral.